AUACGGAGGUAGCAAGCGUUAUUCGGAAUCACUGGGCGUAAAGGACGCGUAGGCGGGUUUGUAAGUCAGGUGUGAAAUCCUACAGCUCAACUGUAGAACUGCACUUGAAACUACAGACCUAGAGUAUGGAAGGGGCAGAUGGAAUUAGUGGUGUAGGGGUAAAAUCCGUAGAUAUCACUAGGAAUACCGAAAGCGAAGGCGAUCUGCUGGGACAUUACUGACGCUGAGGCGUGAAAGCGUGGGGAGCAAACAGGAUUAGAUACCCCAGUAGUCC
This 274-nucleotide ribosomal RNA is filed under the name uncultured bacterium. Its description in RNAcentral is "partial 16S ribosomal RNA". It matches the Rfam family "Bacterial small subunit ribosomal RNA", at positions 523 to 796 of the family's 1533-position model. The record is from RNAcentral.